This 402-nucleotide ribosomal RNA is filed under the name uncultured Sphingomonas sp. RNAcentral describes it as "bacterial SSU rRNA". It matches the Rfam family "Bacterial small subunit ribosomal RNA", at positions 355 to 774 of the family's 1533-position model. Lineage: Bacteria; Pseudomonadati; Pseudomonadota; Alphaproteobacteria; Sphingomonadales; Sphingomonadaceae. The record is from RNAcentral.
UGGGGAAUAUUGGACAAUGGGCGAAAGCCUGAUCCAGCAAUGCCGCGUGAGUGAUGAAGGCCUUAGGGUUGUAAAGCUCUUUUACCAGGGAUGAUAAUGACAGUACCUGGAGAAUAAGCUCCGGCUAACUCCGUGCCAGCAGCCGCGGUAAUACGGAGGGGGCUAGCGUUGUUCGGAAUUACUGGGCGUAAAGCGCGCGUAGGCGGCUUUGCAAGUCAGAGGUGAAAGCCCGGGGCUCAACCCCGGAAUUGCCUUUGAGACUGCAUCGCUAGAACGUCGGAGAGGUAAGUGGAAUUCCGAGUGUAGAGGUGAAAUUCGUAGAUAUUCGGAAGAACACCAGUGGCGAAGGCGACUUACUGGACGACUGUUGACGCUGAGGUGCGAAAGCGUGGGGAGCAAACA